GGGGAUGCCAAGGUCUCGACAUGACUAUUGGAAUUUCAAAUGCAGUAGGGUUUGCCCUUUAUAGCUCGAGGUCUCGCCAACAUGACGAAACUAAAUCUGACACUGCAAGUGUAGAGUCUUCAUUCUAUACUGGUAGCUUGCCAACUCAAACUGCCCUUUACGCUUAGUCGUAAGGCUCGUAGUCGAGUAUAAGGUAUAAAUUGUUUUCUCAAUUUACAACUAUACCUCUAAUAAAUUGAUAUAUUCUAUAACUCCAAUGCAUAGAAAAGAAAAACAUUUUGGAUAUGUCGCUUUUAGUUGUGCUAUUACUAUAAAAAGCGUUGAAGAACGAAAUAGCACUAAACUGUAGUAUUUGUUAGGAAGAUAAUUGUGGAAAUGGGUUCAAUUCCCAUCAUCUCCGCCA
This 403-nucleotide transfer-messenger RNA is filed under the name Mycoplasmataceae bacterium. It matches the Rfam family "transfer-messenger RNA". From Rfam's summary of the family: Bacterial tmRNA, also known as 10Sa RNA or SsrA, is named for its dual tRNA and mRNA-like properties. Its role is to liberate the mRNA from a stalled ribosome. Lineage: Bacteria; Bacillati; Mycoplasmatota; Mollicutes; Mycoplasmatales; Mycoplasmataceae. The record is from RNAcentral.